UAAGGAAUAUUGCUCAAUGGGAGAAAUCCUGAAGCAGCAACGCCGCGUGGAGGAUGAAGGGUCUAUGACUUGUAAACUCCUGUAAAGAAGGAAAAAAUUCCCAUUUGAUGGGAGAUGAUGGUACUUCUGGAGUAAGCCCCGGCUAACUACGUGCCAGCAGCCGCGGUAAUACGUAGGGGGCAAGCGUUGUCCGGAUUUACUGGGUGUAAAGGGUGCUCAGGCGGAUUUGUAAGUCAGAGGUGAAAUCUUACAGCUUAACUGUGAAACUGCCUUUGAUACUGCAAGCCUAGAGUAUGGAAGAGAGUGAUGGAAUAUUUGGUGUAGCAGUGAAAUGCGUAGAUAUCAGAUAGAACACCGAUGGCGAAGGCAGUCACUUGGUCCAUUACUGACGCUAAAGCACGAAAGCGUGGGUAGCAAACA
This 420-nucleotide ribosomal RNA is filed under the name uncultured bacterium. RNAcentral describes it as "bacterial SSU rRNA". It matches the Rfam family "Bacterial small subunit ribosomal RNA", at positions 355 to 774 of the family's 1533-position model. The record is from RNAcentral.